AUCCCCACCCCACCCCCCACUCUACCUCCGCCCCAACCCUCCUGGGUCUUCAGGAAAGAGAGGAGAUGGAACCCCAAAUAUGGGGGACCUGCUUCAGGCGUGCUAAUGUGGAGCCUCCCAGAGACUGCAAGUGGAAUGCACUGAUCCCAGAAACCAGAGGCUUUGGCUAGGAAGUCCUGCAGGAAGACCCAGCUCUUACCAGCUCUGAACUUGAAGAUGCUCGACAUCUCUGCACCUCAAUUUCCUCA
This is a long non-coding RNA of Prionailurus viverrinus (fishing cat), 248 nucleotides long. RefSeq lists it as uncharacterized. Lineage: Eukaryota; Metazoa; Chordata; Mammalia; Carnivora; Felidae. The transcript is spliced from 3 exons. The record is from RefSeq and is a predicted model, not a curated record.